CACAGACACACACGCUCUCACUCGCACAGCGCCUGAUCCUGAAGGGCUCUCAACCUGUAGGUAGAAACCAACCCCCUCCCUCACACUCCCCAGCCGAUGACCGGCCAAAGUCCUGGUCACCCACAGAGUCCACUCAACACAAGUAUUUUCUUGACAUUUUGGGGCUUUUACUUCAAUUUGAAGCAGAUGGUUGAGCACAGACGUGAACAGCUUUGGCCAUUUGAGCACAAGGAAGGGGCGGGCCUUGGCUUUGAACACGCAGCCCCCAUCCUCCACAUACUGGCCCAGUCCCCUGGUCCCUUCCUUCUCUGCCCCUGCACACCCUGUAACAGACCACCGCCCUCCAAGUGGGGUGCCAUCUUGCCCAGUAGGACGGCUCCAGCCAACCCAGCCUCUACUCCUUCCUCAGGCCACGGGCAGGCUGAACAAGAGAAAAACUCUUUUUCUGUCCAUGGCAGGGCCUGCCCAUGGUGCUGGCUGCCUGGGAUGGGGGCCCAUGGGGGUGGGUCACAGUGAGGAGAGGCUGGGUUGGCUGGAGC
RNAcentral lists this long non-coding RNA (539 nucleotides) under Pan troglodytes (chimpanzee). Its description in RNAcentral is "long non-coding RNA NONPTRT010572". Lineage: Eukaryota; Metazoa; Chordata; Mammalia; Primates; Hominidae. The record is from RNAcentral.